RNAcentral lists this ribosomal RNA (261 nucleotides) under uncultured archaeon. RNAcentral describes it as "partial 16S ribosomal RNA". It matches the Rfam family "Archaeal small subunit ribosomal RNA", at positions 748 to 1008 of the family's 1478-position model. The record is from RNAcentral.
AGGGUGUAAACGCUGCCGACUUGGUGUUGGAGGCCCUUCGGGGGCAUUCAGUGCCGGAGAGAAGUUGUUAAGUCGGCCACUUGGGGAGUACGUCCGCAAGGAUGAAACUUAAAGGAAUUGGCGGGGGAGCACCGCAACGGGAGGAGCGUGCGGUUUAAUUGGAUUCAACACCGGAAAGCUCACCAAGGGCGACUGUUACAUGAAAGCCAGGCUAAUGACCUUGCUUGAUUUUCAGAGAGGUGGUGCAUGGCGUCAGUGACU